This 460-nucleotide ribosomal RNA is filed under the name uncultured bacterium. Its description in RNAcentral is "partial 16S ribosomal RNA". It matches the Rfam family "Bacterial small subunit ribosomal RNA", at positions 338 to 795 of the family's 1533-position model. The record is from RNAcentral.
CCUACGGGUGGCAGCAGUGAGGAAUAUUGGUCAAUGGUCGGGAGACUGAACCAGCCAAGCCGCGUGAGGGAUGAAGGUACAGAGUAUCGUAAACCUCUUUUGUCAGGGAACAAAGGCGGGGACGUGUCCCCGGAUGAGUGUACCUGAAGAAAAAGCAUCGGCUAACUCCGUGCCAGCAGCCGCGGUAAUACGGAGGAUGCGAGCGUUAUCCGGAUUUAUUGGGUUUAAAGGGUGCGGAGGCGGUCUGUUAAGUCAGCGGUCAAAUCCCGAGGCUCAACCCCGGCACGGCGUUUGAACUUGGCAGUCUAGAGUUGGAGAGAAGUAGGCGGAAUGCGCGGUGUAGCGGUGAAAUGCAUAGAGAUCGCGCAGAACUCCGAUUGCGAAGGCAGCAUGCCGGCUCCACACUGACGCUGAGGCACGAAAGCGUGGGUAUCGAACAGGAUUAGAUACCCUUGUAGUC